RNAcentral lists this long non-coding RNA (1265 nucleotides) under Dasypus novemcinctus (nine-banded armadillo). RNAcentral's name for it is "lncRNA (ENSDNOG00000052171.1)". The record is from RNAcentral. Lineage: Eukaryota; Metazoa; Chordata; Mammalia; Cingulata; Dasypodidae.
AUUUGUGUGUGAAAUACAAAUCUAGGAAAGAAAACGCAAAUACCUCAAGAGGAAAGAUUUCUAAAAGGGACUGCUGCAAAAACAAAACUCAACUGUCCAGGAAGAACAGAGGACUGGAGUCUAUUUCACGUGUGCCCAAGCGGACUGACGUGUUGAUCCCAGGGCUGUAAGAGUUCUUUUUGAAAAGCUCCUACCUUGUCACUGCUGAAGAAAACUGGAACAUGAAGAUGAUUGUGGCCAGGGAAGGGUCAGGCCAGGUCCUGAGUGCAAGAUGACCCAAAAGGAGACAGAAAACAAGAGGCAUUACGAAACAAAUUCACUGAGAGGGCAGGGAGCAUCCUCUCAGAUGCUCAAUCACUGGACUCAGAUUACCCAGCUGGCUGUUCUGAGAACCCAAACACACUGGCUUCUUCCCCCUCUGUGAACCAUGGAGAGUUCAACUACCCUGAGCAGAUUAAGAUAAGUUACUUAAGCCAAUUUGGCUUUACCUUCUGUUUCUAGCAGUCAAAAGAACCUGCAUACAAAUGUCAACCCCAGCUGACUGAUAGCAACUGCCUGAACUGUAUUCACACAAACUCUGGGACUCAUGACUCGUGAGGAAGAUGCCCACAAAAAAGGCCUGGGAAUGCUGUUGCACCCAACCUCUGCCCAGGGAUGGAGGGCUGUGCCUGCCCACUUGAGGAAACAGAAGGCAAACCAUCCUUGGAAAACUGAGACAGCCUCAAAGGAGGUUAAGUCCUGGACUGGAGUGGGUCACAAUGUUUCAUUCUUCCUGUCACCUAUUCUGGUCUCUGUUACACCAUGGAGACAAGGAAAACAAGACUUGGAAAGGCUGGACGACUUGCUCUGGACCUUGCAGGGUUUUGCACAACCAUCAACCUGCAACUGAAACCCAGAGAGGAGGAAACGGAUUUGCCCAACGGAUAGGGUGUCCACCUACCACAUGGGAGGUCCAGGGUUCAAACCCAGGGCCUCCUGACCUGUGUGAUGAGCUGGCCCACCCACGGUGCUGAUGCACGCAAGGAGUGCUGUGCCACGCAGGGGUGACCCCCACAUAGGGAACCCCACGCACAAGGAGUGCGCCCCGUAAGGAAAGCUGCCCAGCCAUGAAAAAAGUGCAGCCUGCCCAGGAAUGGCGCCACACACACAGAAAGCUGAUGCAGCAAGAUGACGUAACAAAGCAAGACACAGAUUCCGGGUGCCGCUGAUACAAGUGGACACAGAAGAACACACAGUGAAUGGACACAGAGAGCAGACAACUGGGG